AUAUAUUAUUCAGAUUAUUAAAAAAUUUUCUUUAUAUAGAAAUAAUGAAACUUUGACCCCUCUAGUUCACACAAUGGAGGUUAAGUAGAGAGAAUAUUAGCCUAGGUUAAGUAUUAUACACUCUAUUGCUACUAUUUUUUAUCCUAGAAUUAAAUUGAAUGGUGUUCUUUAUUUACUUGAUAAAUAUCAUGAGUAUAUGUUGACUGAUUCAACUGGUAAUAAAGAAAUAGUUGAACGUUAUUUGUAUGCCAUGUAUAGUUUGUAUGAUGCC
This 271-nucleotide long non-coding RNA is filed under the name Elaeis guineensis (African oil palm). Its description in RNAcentral is "long non-coding RNA (EGUI_LNC039124)". The record is from RNAcentral. Lineage: Eukaryota; Viridiplantae; Streptophyta; Magnoliopsida; Arecales; Arecaceae.